Molecule: transfer RNA, 74 nt
Filed under: Leptolyngbya valderiana BDU 20041
Lineage: Bacteria; Bacillati; Cyanobacteriota; Cyanophyceae; Leptolyngbyales; Leptolyngbyaceae
Also listed under: 2 other names
Description: tRNA-Met
Rfam family: tRNA
About the family: Transfer RNA (tRNA) molecules are approximately 80 nucleotides in length. Their secondary structure includes four short double-helical elements and three loops (D, anti-codon, and T loops).
Source: RNAcentral
GGCUUGGUAGCUCAGCUGGUCAGAGCAGGGGACUCAUAAGCCCAAGGUCGUCGGUUCAAGUCCGACCCGAGCCA